Molecule: long non-coding RNA, 1620 nt
Organism: Phascolarctos cinereus (koala)
Lineage: Eukaryota; Metazoa; Chordata; Mammalia; Diprotodontia; Phascolarctidae
Source: Ensembl
AUGUCUUUCACAGGUCCACUCGUAUCAAAGAAAUCAUUAGAACUUAACUCAACUUUUGCUGCUAUUUCACUCAGCAAGCAGACACAAAUUCCUUCCAUCUCUGACCCAAGUUCAUUCAAUGUGAAGAUGGAAAACCUUCCAUCUUUCUUGCUUACAAUUUGCCCAAUAGAAUCCAGGCAGUUUUCUGAUUUCUCUGACUCAUGUUUACUAAGAGGAGAUAUACAAAUGCCUUCCAUCCAUAGCCCUAUUUCAGUGAGCAAAUGCAUACAACUUUCUCACUCCUCUGAUAAUAGUUUGCCAACAGAAACUUUACAAGUUCCCUCUACCCACCUUGCUAUCAGAGUGAGCAGAUCAACACAACCGACUUCCUUCUUUGAUGUGUGUUCAUCAAAUGUAUGCAGAGAAAAAGUUCUUUCAUCCCCAGGGCCACUGAAAUCAAGGGAAUCCAUCCAACAUCCCUCAAAUCUUGGUGUUAUUUCAAUCAACAAAUUUACCCAACUUUCUUCUCCCUCUGCCCCAAGUUCAUUGAAAAUGAAGACAAAAGAAUCUUUCUUGCUUCCACUUUGUCCAAUACAAUCCAAGCAGUUUUCUGAUUUCUCUGAUACAAGUUUACCAAGAGAAAACAUCCAAAUUCCCUCUAUCCUUGGACCUAUUUCAGUGAUCAAAUGCAUACAAUUUUUUCACUCCUCUGACAAAAGUCUGCCAGUAGAAACUUUACAAGUUCCCACCACCCACCUUGCUAUCACAGAGAGCAAACCACCACAACCUGUUUCCUUGCUUGAUGCAAAUUCAUCAGCUGUAGGCAUAGAACAAGCUAUGACUUUGCCAGGUCCACUGAAAUCAAGAGAAUCCGUCCAACAAGCCUCAAACCUUGGUCUUAUUUCAGCCAACAAGUCUGCCCCGUUUCUUUCUUCCUCUGUCCCAAGUUCACUGAACGUAAAUACAGAAGUUCCAUCUUUCUUGCUUCCAUUUCGUCCAACAGAAUCCAGGCAGUUUACUGAUUUCUCUGACGCAAGUCUACCAAAGGAAGACACACAAAGCUCUUCUAUCCUUGGACUUAUUUCAGUGAGCAAAUGCACACAAUCGUCUCACUCCUCUGACAAAAGUUUACCAAGAGAAACUUUACAAGAUCCCCCCACCGACCUGGCUGUCACAGAGAGCAAAUCAACACAAUCCACUUCCUUGUUUGAUGCAAGUUCAUCAGCUGUAGGCAUAGAACAAGCAAUGUCUUUGCCAGGUCCACUGAAAUCAAGGGAAUCCACUGAAUAUCCCUCAAACGUUGGUGUGACUUCAGUCAACAAGUCCACCCAAUUUCCUAUUCCCUCUGUUCCAAGUUCACUGAAUGUGAACAAAGAAGAAGCCCCGCCUUUCUUGCCUCCAUUGUGUCCAACAGAAUCCAGGCAGUUUUCUGAUUCAUCUGACACAAGUCUACCAAGAGAAGAUACACAAAAUCCUUCUAUCCUUGAACCUAUUUCAGUGAGCAAAGACGCACAAUCGUCUCACUCCUCUGACAAAGUUUUGCCAACAGAAACUUCACAAGUUCCUCUAUCCACCUCAAUGUCACAGAGAGCAAAUCAACACAAUCCAUUUAUUUCUUUGAUGCAAGUUUAUCAGCUGUAG